Ciona intestinalis (vase tunicate) is the source of this 3666-nucleotide non-coding RNA. The record is from RefSeq and is a predicted model, not a curated record. NCBI's taxonomy places the organism in Eukaryota, Metazoa, Chordata, Ascidiacea, Phlebobranchia, Cionidae.
GGGAUCAAUAUGACUUUUAUUUGGGAUAAAAACAACAAACAAAAUUUAAACAUAGAUUAAAUAUAACUGUACCUUUUUUGCUAGUCACAGUAUCAAUGUGCAACAAUUGUGCAAUAUGUUUCUUUGUUUAAUUCCAAUAUUAUUUUCUCUGUGUCAUUUAUAGAAUUAUGGUUACCGCCUUACCGGGAACCCAAAAUUUGCCCCACUCCAAGCUAUGCUUUUAUGCACCACCAAGAUUGGAAAAGUUCUCUAAUCCUUUAGAAAAUAUUGGGUUUUCCAAAGUAUUUAAACAUAAUACACAAAGAUGAGUGUUAAUCUCUGCAAAGUGCGGACUUUCUUAUCUGGUGCCCAGUGUCCAUGAUAAUACUGUAUCUGUAUGUGAAUAUAUAUUAUUUCUUCCGCAGACCAGUUUUAAGUAAGUUAUUUUAUAAGCUGUAAAAUGUUUGGUGGAAUACAAAUACACAUGGACUAUUCUGGUCAAAAGUACGCAGAAUGUACAUUCCAAAGAAUUAUUGUAGUUUUUGCUGUCAUUGGAUUCUUUAUUGGUUAUGCAUUGCAAAAACUCUCAUAUUCCAUGUAUAUUUUGGGAUUUGGCUGUUUGGUUGCUGCUCUAGUUACUUUACCUCCUUGGCCAAUGUACAGAAGAGAUGGCAUUGUUUGGCAAACACCAGAAGCCACAGAAGUUGAUACAUCCCAAGCUUCUGGUUCAAAAACAAAUAAACAAAAGAAACAUUAAGUCUGGGAUUUAAGGGUGAUUUAACCAGUGGUGAUUUCUGUUAUGUUAAAAGUGACCUAAAGCAAUAUAUUAUAAACAGUUUGUUGCAUACCGGUUUCAUUUUCUUUUAUGAAGUUUUUUUUAGAAUGUAUAGGCAUGUCUAUGCCAUUCAAUCAUAUCUCUGUACUAUUUCUUCUUAAUUGGUUUGUACAAUUGUAAAUUGACCAAAUUGAGUUACUCAAUUUAAGCAAAAAUGCAGUGCUUGGUAAUCCUUCAUAUUAUAUAUAAACAUAAUAAAAUAAUUGCCGUGCACUAUAUUUGUGAAAUUGUGUAUAAUUUAACAGUUUCAGUUUAUCCAUUUAUAUUCAUUCACAAUUCACACCAUAGAAUAGAUACACAUUUUAAACUCUAGUUAAAGAUAGACCCCCUGUUUUCAAAUAUAAUGCCACGAAAGAAGGUAACAGGAAAAAGGAGGCACACUGUUGAAAUUAAACCAGAUAAGGAGGUGUCAGUGAAGAAAUCUAAGGAUAAUGAAGAAGAUGCAAGUACAUCGGUGAAGGAGGAAAUUAAAGAAAAGGUUGUUGUCUUCACUGGUUCUAUUCCAUUAGAUGAAGAAUGUACUUUGGAUCCAAAGCAAUAUCAUGUUUACACUGAGCAAGAUUUGGUUUUCAAUGCAAUGUUAAACCAAACCAAUAUUGGUUCUAAUAAUAAUAAGUACUAUGUCAUUCAACUUUUGAAAAACAAUAAAACUUCAGAUUUUUUUAUAUGGCUAAGAUGGGGAAGGGUUGGUAAGGUUGCAGGAAAAACUUUGGAAGCUGUGGGCCUUGAGCAAGGUAAAGCAACCUUUCAAAAAAAGUUUCGGGAAAAAACGGGAAAUUAUUUUCAUGUGUUUAACUUACCUUUUGUCAAGAAAAAGGGCAAAUAUGAUUUACUGGAAAUGGAUUACGGUGAAGAUAAAAAAACAGACACAAAUAAAAAGGAUACCAAGAAUAAAGUGAAAGCUGAAUCUGUACUUCAUAAGAGUUUACAAGAUGUUAUGACUCUCAUCUUUGAUAUUACAGAGUGGGAGGAAUCAGUUAAAGAAAUGAAAUUUGACAUUAAGAAGUCACCUUUAGGUAAACUUACAAAGAAACAAAUCACAGCCGGCUAUGAAGCAUUGAAAGCUGUAGAAACCUGUAUAACUCACGAUAAAGUCGACAAACAGGAAUUAAUUGAAGCUUGCAGUCAGUUCUACACCAGAAUCCCACACGAUUUUGGCAUGAAGGCGCCACCCUUGAUUGAAACGACAGAUCAACUUAAAGAAAAGCUUGAACUCCUAGAAGCACUUAAUGAAAUUCAAGUUGCAAUCAGUAUUGUUGAAGAUGAGAAUGACGAAAACGAUACAAAUCCAAUUGAUCUUAACUACAAAUCAUUAAAUUGUGAUUUAACACCACUGGAUAGAUCAGAUGAUCAGUUUAAAAUUGUUAAAAAGUAUGUAUCCAACACUCAUGGAAGCACUCAUACUUCUUACACACUUUCUGUUGAAGAUGUGUUUACUGUAAAUCGUGAAGUUGAUUCUGCUCGAUUUAAAAGUGAGAUCGGGAAUCGGACUUUAUUAUGGCAUGGAUCAAGGUUAACAAACUGGUGCGGCAUAUUGAAGCAAGGACUGCGUAUUGCACCCCCUGAGGCACCAGUUACUGGUUAUAUGUUUGGAAAAGGUGUUUACUUUGCUGAUAUGGUUUCGAAAUCUGCUAAUUACUGUUGGACUAGUCAGCGCCAACCAAUUGGCUUUCUUCUGCUGUGUGAAGUGGCACUGGGUGAUUGCAAUGAGCUUACUUCAGGUGAUUAUCAUGCGGAUAAAUUACCAAAAGGAAAACAUAGCACCAAGGGUAUUGGAGGAACAGAACCCAACCCAAAGCAAGCUGUUACUUUAGCAGAUGGGACAACAGUACCACUGGGAAAGCCAAAGACCUGUACCACCAAACCAGGUUAUCUUUGGUAUAAUGAAUUUAUUGUCUAUGAUGUUGCCCAAAUCAAACCUCGAUUUCUUGUCAAGUUAAAAUUUAACUACAAAACUGGAUUUUAAAAAUUAAACGAUCACAGUAACACUAUCUUUAAGUUUCAUUGAUUAUACUAAUAGCCACUAAGUUGGCACUAACUAUAUAUUUUUAGCUUUUCAGGGUUAUUUUAUGACUUUAUAUUUAUACAGUGGUGUUGUUAAUUUGUUGAACAAACCAUUCAUGGCACUUUUUCAUUUAGUUAUAAAACAGUUUUAUUUCUAUUUUAACCUGUAAAUUAUAAGUAGAUUUUAGGCAUUACUUGUGUAUAAAUGAAAUAUAAUAUAUAUUUAUUUAUAUGCUAUAUUUUAUAGCACUAUCACUGAUAGGUAUUUUUACUACCAUUAAGUUUCAUUGAUUGUACUAACCAGUAACUAUCCAAUUUUGUUAUUUCUUUACGCUUUGAUUUUUUUUACAAAUUAAUAUUAAUAGCUGCGUAAAAAAAUAUUUAUUAAAUUUAAGAAACUGUUCAACCAUAUCAUGCCAAUGCCCAAUAAUGUUUCUGUUUUUAUUUAUUUUCUAAAUUGUAUAAAUAAAUGGUAGAUUUGUUAUACUUAUACAUCACAUAUGUAAAAAGAUCCUGUAUAUAUAUAAGAAUACAGAAUCUUUUUUCUAAAGUUAUUUUACAUUUGUUUAAUUUAUUUUAUAAAUUGUAGAUAUCACAUAUAUAUAUUUAUACAGACUAUUCUGUUUUUCAAAGUUGUUAUUUUACAUUAGUGAUUUUGAUCAUGUACUUAAAUAGAAAAAAACAGUUCCACUUUACCAAUGCAUGUUUGUAUUAUUUUAUCUGCCAUUGCUUUUAAGUUUGUACAUUCAAAUUAUAAUAUUAAUAACUUUGAAGUUGGUGCAUGUGCAUGAAAGUGAAUAUUUUAGCAUAUAAAAGACAGUUGUAUUUUAAAGUAUUCCAACUUUUUC